UUAAUAUACAAGAAAAAAAAAAUGAAGCAAUAACACUGAGAUCGGUUUGCUAAUUUACAGAUAUAUCAAGGCCUUUUGGAAGCCAGGGUUGUGGGAAAAGAUUUAUCAACAAGAAAUGUUGUCAAUGGCAUCUUAGGUACUUAAGCGGGAAAAAAUUGUCAACAAUUAUUUCUAAUUCUAUGAGAUGAGGCUAUUCAAAAAGUACAGGGCAACUAAGCAUUAAAAGUGCUUUCGAAGAUAGUUCUUCUGUUCAAGAUAGUUCUUACACCUUCUGAGGAAGAUUCACAUCAACAACAUUGAAACUUGAUGUACUUUAGUUCAGUAUACUCUGAUGUACAUAUUGUCCUGAAAUCAAAGGAUUAUUUUUUCUUCCAAUAAAUUUUUAAAAUGUAUCAGUUGUCAUAAAUAAACAUUUUUUUGAAAUUUAUUCUCCCAGGUCACUUUUGACAGUUGAAAACAUUUUGUCAUCCGACUUCAUGCUAGUGCACUAAUGAAGUAAAAUUUAUUAUUUGAUUUAUUUUAAAAUGCUAAAGGAAAAGAAAAAACUGUGUAUGGUAUCGUUGAUAAUCCAGUUUGUACUUUACAGAUAAGCUAAAAUGUUUUGGCUGCAAGGAUUGUGGAAAAUGUUACGUUAUCAAGGAGGCACUUAAGAUACGAGUGCGGGAAGGAACCGGCCUUCGUACGUUCCUACUGCCACAGGCAAAGCAAGUCUUAAAAGCCACAUUGUCUUCAAACACAGCAGCACGAUUACAGUGAAUAUUCAGACUAUUUAUAAAUAAAUAAGUGGAAUGAAACGCCUCAAAAUGCAGGGAAAGGCGUUUCGGGUGCGAAGUUUGUGGUAAAAGAUAUCUCAACAAGGAAAGCUUGUCCAGGCAUUUAAAGUACGAAUGUGGAAAGGAGCCGACUUUCAGCUGUCCUUCCUGUCAUUACAAGGCAAAACGAAAGUCCCACCUUAAACAGCAUAUCAUCUUCAAACAUCCAGAAAUGUUUACACGAAAAAAUCUCCAAAAUAAAAAUAUAUUUUGAAAAUGUUUGCUCAUUUACAGAGUCUUCUGGAAGCGAGUAUUGUGGAAAAAGAUUUAUCAGCAUGAUCUGUAAUGCUUAUCUUAGGUACUCAAGCGGAUAAAAAUACUCAACUAUUAUUUCUAAUUCUACCAGAUGAGGCCAUUCACAAAGUACAGGACAACCGAGCAUUCUGUGAUAGUUCUAGGCUUUCCGAGGAAGAUGCAUAUUUACUCAGUCGAAUCAUGAUGCCCUUUAGGCCAAAUUAUACUGCUGUUCGUAUUAUCCUGAUAUGAAAAAAUUACUUUUUCUUCCAAUAAACAUUCAAUUGUUAAAAUGUAUCAGUUGUCGCAAAUAAACAUUUCUUGUGAAACUCAUUCUCCCAGGACACCUUUGACCGUUGAAAAUAUUUUGUCAUCCUGCUUCACGAUGCACAAAUGAAAUAAUUUAUUAUAAAAUGCUCAAGAAAAAGAAAAAACUGUGAAUGGUAUUCUUGAUAAUCCAAUUUGUACUUUCCAAAAAAAGCAAAAAGUUUUGGCUGGAAGGGGUUGUGUACAAUGUUAUGUCAGCGUGAAGAGGCAGGAACCUGGCCCGUACAAGGCGAAGCACAAACCAACUCUUAAAAGCCACAGUCUUCAAACACAACUGCACGAUUUCAGCAAAUAUUCAGACUAUUACAAAUAAAUAAAGAAGUGAAAUGUCUUGAAAUGGCCUCAUUGUGAAAAUUUACCCCGUUUUCAUUUUUUUUUUUUUAACUUUGCCUCUAUUUCCAGGCAGGGAGAGGCAUUUUGGGUGCGAGGCUUGUGGUAAAAGGUAUGUCAACAAGAAGAGUCUCACAAGGCAUCUGAGGUACAUGUGCGGAAAAAAGACUAAUGCAUUAUUCGCCAACAUCCUGAUAGAAAAGGCCAUUCACAAAAUACCGGAGAACUGAGCAUAAAAGUGUAUUCGAAGAUUGUUUUUCCGUUCUAGUUAAAGAUAGUUCUUACACCUGAGGAAGAUUAAGAUUUACUUCAUUGAAUCAUGGUGUCCUUUAGGUCAAUUUAUACUGUGUACAUAUUGUCAUAAAAUCAAAAAAUUACUUUUUCUUCCAAUAAAUAUUCAAUUUUUAAAAUUUACUUGUCACAAAUAAACAUUUCUUUUGAAAUUCUUUCUUCCAGGUCACUUUUGACAGUUGAAAACAUUUUGUGCUCCUAUUUCAAUAUGAUGCACAAAUGAAGAAAAAUUUAUGUUUUAUUUUAAAGUGCUAAAAAAAUUGUAAAUAGUAUCCUUGAUAAUUUGGUUUGAAUUUUACAGAUAAACUAAAACGCUUUGGCUGCAAGAAUUGUGGAAAAUGUUACGUCAACAAAGAUAGUCUGAGGAGGCACUUAAGAUACGAGUG
This is a long non-coding RNA of Cimex lectularius (bed bug), 2380 nucleotides long. RefSeq lists it as uncharacterized. The transcript has 3 exons. Lineage: Eukaryota; Metazoa; Arthropoda; Insecta; Hemiptera; Cimicidae. The record is from RefSeq and is a predicted model, not a curated record.